AGCAGCCGCGGUAAUUCCAGCUCCAAUAGCGUAUAUUAAAGUUGUUGCAGUUAAAAAGCUCGUAGUUGAAUUUCGGGACCAAUUUGUUGGUCGUGCCUCGGUACGUACUGGUAUUAUUGGUUUCUCCCUUCUGAAGAACCUCGAUGCCAUUAAUUUGGUGUCGUGGGGAAUCAGGACUGUUACUUUGAAAAAAUUAGAGUGUUUAAAGCAAGCAUACGCUUGAAUACAUUAGCAUGGAAUAAUGAAAUAGGGCGUUUGAUUCUAUUUUGUUGGUUUCUAGGAUCGACGUAAUGAUUAAUAGGGAUAGUUGGGGGCAUUAGUAUUCAAUUGUCAGAGGUGAAAUUCUUGGAUUUAUUGAAGACUAACUACUGCGAAAGCAUUUGCCAAGGAUGUUUUCAUUAAUCAAGAACGAAAGUUAGGGGAUCGAAGACGAUCAGAUACCGUCGUAGUCUUAACCAUAAACUAUGCCGACUAGGGAUCGGAUGAUGUUAAUUUUUUAAUGUACUCAUUCGGCGCCUUA
This 520-nucleotide ribosomal RNA is filed under the name uncultured Glomus. Its description in RNAcentral is "SSU rRNA". It matches the Rfam family "Eukaryotic small subunit ribosomal RNA", at positions 569 to 1090 of the family's 1831-position model. Lineage: Eukaryota; Fungi; Glomeromycota; Glomeromycetes; Glomerales; Glomeraceae. The record is from RNAcentral.